RNAcentral lists this long non-coding RNA (596 nucleotides) under Daucus carota (carrot). RNAcentral describes it as "long non-coding RNA (DCAR_LNC001119)". The record is from RNAcentral. Lineage: Eukaryota; Viridiplantae; Streptophyta; Magnoliopsida; Apiales; Apiaceae.
GAAUCCCCGUUUGGGGUUCGGGGACUGAUAUUGAAUUCGGGGAUUGGGGGUUGGGGAUAGCACUCCCCGACCCCGAAGUGCCCCCGCGCCCAUCCCUAGUUGAUCUACUACAAAUAGAAUUUUUUUUUAUUAAAAUCAAUAAUAUUAAUAAAUAGAUAUAGAGAGGUGGGAAGAGAGAAUUGAUGGUAAAGGUGACCAGAGAAGGACAAAGAUGUCGGAGAUAUGUCCUUGAAGAAAUUUGUUGGAUAAGUUUAUAGGAAGGGAAGAGGAUAGGAAGGAAGAAAGAAUUAGCUAGAGCUGGGGCGAGCCGCGUGGUGGCAGCAGUAGUGGUUGCAACAUGGUAGCGAUGGGAGAUAGUGGUUAUGACAAUGCAGUAUGGGCGGGUGACUCAUUGCAGCAAGGGGUGAGGGCAUGGGUGGUGUUGAUUGUGUGGGGGUGUAAAAAGGGGAUAAAAUAGUUUUAAUUAUUAAGUGGUUAUAUUUAAAAUAUUAGUGAUUUUUUUAAUUUUAGGCUUAUAUUGUUUGUAUUUGAUCUUCAUAUAUAUAUAUGUACGGUAGCACUCCAUAGCAUACCCUCUUAUAUGGAGUUAGGUAGCA